UACGUAGGGGGCAAGCGUUGUCCGGAAUCAUUGGGCGUAAAGCGCGUGUAGGCGGUUCGAUAAGUCUGCUGUGAAAGUCCAGGGCUCAACCCUGGGAUGCCGGUGGAUACUGUCGGACUAGAGUACGGAAGAGGCGAGUGGAAUUCCCGGUGUAGCGGUGAAAUGCGCAGAUAUCAGGAGGAACACCGAUGGCGAAGGCAGGUCUCUGGGCCACUACUGACGCUGAGAAGCGAAAGCAUGGGGAGCGAACAGG
RNAcentral lists this ribosomal RNA (253 nucleotides) under uncultured bacterium. Its description in RNAcentral is "partial 16S ribosomal RNA". It matches the Rfam family "Bacterial small subunit ribosomal RNA", at positions 524 to 776 of the family's 1533-position model. The record is from RNAcentral.